This 631-nucleotide ribosomal RNA is filed under the name uncultured Rhodospirillaceae bacterium. Its description in RNAcentral is "bacterial SSU rRNA". It matches the Rfam family "Bacterial small subunit ribosomal RNA", at positions 9 to 684 of the family's 1533-position model. Lineage: Bacteria; Pseudomonadati; Pseudomonadota; Alphaproteobacteria; Rhodospirillales; Rhodospirillaceae. The record is from RNAcentral.
GAGUUUGAUCAUGGCUCACCACUUGAACGCUGGCGGCAGGCCUAACACAUGCAAGUCGAACGCUCCCUUCGGGGGGAGUGGCGGACGGGUGAGUAACGCGUGGGAACCUGGCUCUUGGUACGGAACAACCGCGGGAAACUGCGGCUAAUACCGUAUACGCCCUGAGGGGGAAAGAUUUAUCGCCGAGGGAUGGGCCCGCGUCUGAUUAGCUAGUUGGUGAGGUAACGGCUCACCAAGGCAUCGAUCAGUAGCUGGUCUGAGAGGAUGAUCAGCCACACUGGGACUGAGACACGGCCCAGACUCCUACGGGAGGCAGUAGUGGGGAAUAUUGGACAAUGGGGGCAACCCUGAUCCAGCCAUGCCGCGUGAGUGACGAAGGCCUUAGGGUUGUAAAGCUCCUUCAGUGGUGACGAUGAUGACGGUAGCCACAGAAGAAGCCCCGGCUAACUCCGUGCCAGCAGCCGCGGUAAUACGGAGGGGGCAAGCGUUGUUCGGAAUUACUGGGCGUAAAGGGCGCGUAGGCGGUCUGUUACGUCAGGUGUGAAAGCCCCGGGCUCAACCUGGGAGGUGCACUUGAUACGGGCAGGCUUGAAUCCGGGAGAGGAUGGUGGAAUUCCCAGUGUAGAGGUGA